GGAGGGCGGGGCCUAGAGGACAGAGGGCGGGGCCUGGCGGCAGGACUCGGCUUGAGACUGCUCACCUGGCGGCGGGGCGGGACCGACUAAAGGAGGGCCUGGAGCAAGUUGACCUGCGUUGCACGCGCCGCCCUUUUGGAAGAAGCGGAAUACAGUGACACGGCCAUCCGCUGACAGAGCUGUGGUGGCCGAGGAAACGCAGCACUCAGCGCUGAGGGCUUCCCAAUCGGGCCCCGCCGCCGCACUGCGCCACCGCGACCGAAAUUCGGGUCUCGCCCACUCACCUGCCCUACCUGGCGGGGGAGGACGAGCUUUGCAGCGCUUGACAACACACUCCCUCCUUGUCCGUAUUCCGCCCCCUCCACAAACUGGCCAACUCGCUCGGCCUUCCGCAGAAGUCAGGAGCCAGGCAUUCUCACGGUCACUCGCUAACUUGUUUGCCUUCUGUUUCACCCAAGACGCCCUUUGCGUGUCAGGUUGGUUGUUUGCAGGAAGAGGGGGAGAGGAAGGAAGAGUCCGGAACAAUUUUGACUCCUUCGGAGUGCAAUACCCGCAGGCUGUACCCGGAGUCUGAAUCCCUACCCCGCACGCCAUCCUGGAGCUCUAUCUGCUUCAGUCCCAAGACUGGCUAUCGCCUGUCCCCUCGUCCUCAUACCCCCUCAACUCUCGCCCAGCAUUUCCCUCCCCCACUGGCCCGGUGCCGUCCCUUCCCCAACCCCACCACCACCCGGGCGUCCUCCAGAGAGUCACUUGACGGACGUGGUUCCUAGAAUGCGAAAAGCUUCGUAAUAAACCGCCUGCCCGAAUGUUGUCGGGUCAAAUGACAGUCGUAUUAUUGGAAAGCGCUCUCUACACCGUAACCUGCAGCCCAAUUGUCGCUUAGCAUUGCUCUGUGGGAUUUUGCUGGCACCUUUUUCUUCCAAGUAAGAGUGAUACGUGCCUGUUGAAACAAAGUGCUCAUCUCAGAUGACACACUUGGCAAGAACUGCAAGUUCACAGGCCAACUAGAGGACCAAUUUAGAUACAGAUAUACAAAAGUGUGUCACUGUACUUACCAAUGAGAAAGCGUCGGGAAAUUAACUGUCCACAAUGUUCAAUGUUUAUAACCCAGACAGUAGUGGGAAGGGAGAAAUUUCCCUCUUGAGUUCUUAUGCAGUGGACUAAUGACAAAAUUGACACAGGACAGAUUAGCAGGAGAAAAACAAAUUUGAAUGCAUGCACAUAUAGGUCUCAUAGAAAUUGGAUCUAUGAGGUGGCCAAAGCAGGCAGAUUUUAUACUUUUUAGACAAAAAAUAAAUUUGUGAGGAGUUGACAAGAUAGGGUUGGGAUGCUCAAUUAGUGAAAAAUCUAAACAGAAUUUGGGCUUAGGAUAGUAAAUU
Molecule: long non-coding RNA, 1379 nt
Organism: Bubalus bubalis (water buffalo)
Lineage: Eukaryota; Metazoa; Chordata; Mammalia; Artiodactyla; Bovidae
Exons: 2
Source: RefSeq, a predicted model, not a curated record